This 770-nucleotide ribosomal RNA is filed under the name uncultured Tulasnella mycobiont of Riccardia palmata. Its description in RNAcentral is "eukaryotic LSU rRNA". The stretch from base 532 to 770 matches the Rfam family "Eukaryotic large subunit ribosomal RNA", at positions 1 to 227 of the family's 3401-position model. Lineage: Eukaryota; Fungi; Basidiomycota; Agaricomycetes; Cantharellales; Tulasnellaceae. The record is from RNAcentral.
CCGUAGGUGAACCUGCGGAAGGAUCAUAGUUGUGGAUGAGGGAGCGCAGGUCGCUCCCGUUCAACCCAAUCUUCUUUGGACCGGCGUGGUUUGGAGCCUUGUGCACCCCCGUCGAUCAGCCAUACGUACUCUUGGUCAUCUGAACUUCAGUUGAUAUUUCAUAAAUACACAACUGGUAGCAUUGGAUCCCUUGGCACGCCAUUCGAUGAAGACCGUAGCAAAUUGCGAUAAGUGGUGUGAUAUGCGAGUCCAAAACUUAUACGUGAACCAUCGAAUUGUUGAACGCAUUGCAUCGAGCUUUGCCCAAGCACGAUACGCGUUGAUCACCGCGGUUAUGUCUUCAGAAUUUGACCAUUCUGAGCUCGGGACUCAUGGCCCUCUCGGGUCACGCCUCCUAAGAUGAAUUCGCUUCGUUCCAACGUCGCGCUCCUUGUUGUGAACUUCAAGGCGUGAUGGUCGGAAUCGGCGAGCGGUCAGGCUGGAAACGCCUAGACCAAACAUGCAUCCCUUCGGGGCUCGCGACACCAAACCACUGCGUGAUCGACGUGGGACGACGGGCUAAACUUAAGCAUAUUAAUCAGCCCAGGAAAAGAAACUAACAAGGAUUCCCCUAGUAACUGCGAGUGAAGAGGGAAGAGCUCAAUGUGUGAAUCUGACCGGGUCUAAAACCUGGUUCGAAUUGUGCACUAUUGACGCUGGAUCAGCUCAUGAAAGCUUGUGGCGGAUGUCCGAUGAAACACGGCACCAUAGCGGGUCACAGUCCUGUACAC